Anopheles moucheti is the source of this 1473-nucleotide RNA transcript. It is a transcript of the gene named small VCP/p97-interacting protein, with no coding region annotated. The transcript has 3 exons. NCBI's taxonomy places the organism in Eukaryota, Metazoa, Arthropoda, Insecta, Diptera, Culicidae. The record is from RefSeq and is a predicted model, not a curated record.
ACAACGCUUUUUGUGUUGCAAAUAGCAUCAUCAAAGAUAACAAAUCGUCAAAAUCACAUUCCAUGAAGCCAUUAAUCUAAAUGGAUAGUGUAUUAGCAACUCAAACCGAUGAAAAGCUAGCAUCCGACGUUUGCCGUGGCUGUGGAGGCAAAAAUGCAGUAAAACCGCUAUCCGUGUAUGGAAACAUCUUUAAAUGGUGCACCUCUAUAGAUGUUUCCUGCUCCGAUGGGCUUCCGUCAAACAUAUGCAAUCGAUGCUUGCAGAUGCUAUCAACAUCGUACGAAUUCAAAAUCCUAUGCACUCGCACGGAUCGAAGUUUACGAGCGAACACAAAUGACGGGGCGCAGUUUGAGAAUUUCCCUACACUCGAAAACAUUUCAUCGGAUGAGUAUGAACAAUCGGAGCUGGUGUACGAGGUGCAAACCGAGGAAGUCGUGGAAGAAAUGAUUUUGACUGAUAAAGAGUCUUUUGAUUAUGUGUAUACAAAUGUAGAAGAAAUUGAGGAGUCCAUCGCCAAGAAGCCAGAAGGUACCACACAGAACAAGGUCUGUGAUUUUGAACUUUCGUCGGAUGAAGGCUAUGUACUGCCCGUAGCUGAGAAAUCUAAUGAAAUAUCGUCAUUGGAUGGCCGGGAGUCUCAAGACACGGAAGAGCAGGAAAAAAGUGAAGAACUUGCUUUUAGUGACACGGUAGAAUAUCUCGAGGACACGUGCAAAGCAAUUAGCCCAACGUAUGAAAAGACCGGAACCUGCAGCAAAAUUGUAUCCGUUAUAGGGUUGAAGCAUGAGCGCAAAUGUACAAAAACCCGAUCCGUGCGGCAUCGUUGCCCAGACUGUGGAAAAGAGUUUGCCUCCAAAACAAACAUGUAUCGGCACCAGCAUGCACACAGAGGUUCAAAGCCCUACAAAUGUGAUAUCUGCAAAAAAUGUUUUACCCAAAGUGGGACACUUAAAACACAUAAGUACACACAUUUCAACAUAAAACCAUUCGUGUGCAACGUGUGUGGGCAACGAUUUACACAAAGCAAAUCUGUGAAACUUCAUCUUCGGCGACAUACGGGAGAAAAGCCAUACGUAUGUGAUAUUUGCAAUGCAGCGUUCCGGCAAAAGAAUGGACUGCAACGGCACAUGAAAGUGCAUGGAGAAAACACAUGAACAGUGAGCAGUUAAUAACCGGUAUAGCAGAUGUUCCACUCGCCAGCUGUAUUGUUCUAUUUGAAACAGUACGAUAUUUGAGAAAAGGCAAGUUAUUCUGAAAAUGCGAAAUCUCUGUUUCCACCAAAUUUACUCCAAAUUGCACAUUUUGUGGAAAAACUCACAAGCGAAACAGAGAAACUGGAGCAACCAACCCAAUAAUGUAGCCGCAUCUGAAAGCAACAAAAUUGCCCACCUUGUUUUGUUUACGUUCUCGACAAAGGCAGCGAAAGCCUACAAGUGUUUCGUGGAUUCAUCCAAAUUGUUCGUGAUGGGAUUG